This 458-nucleotide ribosomal RNA is filed under the name uncultured bacterium. RNAcentral describes it as "partial 16S ribosomal RNA". It matches the Rfam family "Bacterial small subunit ribosomal RNA", at positions 28 to 507 of the family's 1533-position model. The record is from RNAcentral.
GAUAAACGCUGGCGGCGUGCAUGAGACAUGCAAGUCGAACGAAGGAUCGGGCUUGCUCGAUCCUUAGUGGCGGACGGCUGGGUAACGCGUAGGUGACCUACCCCGAAGUGGGGAAUAACUGCCCGAAAGGGUGGCUAAUACCGCAUGUGGUCGCACGUUCAUUCGUGCGAGUAAAGCCGCAAGGCGCUUCGGGAGGGGCCUGCGUCCGAUUAGCUCGUUGGUGGGGUAAUGGCUUACCAAGGCGACGAUCGGUAGGUGGUCUGAGAGGACGAUCACCCAGACUGGGACUGAGACACGGCCCAGACUCCUACGGGAGGCAGCAGCCGGGAAUUUUGCUCAAUGGGGGAAACCCUGAAGCAGCAACGCCGCGUGAGGGAUGAAGGCCUUCGGGUUGUAAACCUCUUUUGUCAGGGACGAUGAUGACGGUACCUGGCGAAUAAGCCACGGCUAACUACGUG